This is a long non-coding RNA of Clupea harengus (Atlantic herring), 2520 nucleotides long. Lineage: Eukaryota; Metazoa; Chordata; Actinopteri; Clupeiformes; Clupeidae. The record is from Ensembl.
GUUAGGCGCCGCGGGAGUGAAGAAGAAGAAGACUGGAGGAGAGAGCGAUGUGAAGGCACUAGCAGGGAAGGAGCUGCUGUGUAGUUAGCUAGACGUUAACAGUGAAAAUGCGUAACUCACGCAUUUCUACUAACUGCUGAGAUAGAAUAAUGUAAGUGCACAACCCGUGAACUUUAAACGUUUUAUAUAUCUGAGGGUCGGAGUGUUUUGGAACAAUUUCUUCGACGAGGAGUCAAAGUUCUGCCAGCCUGCUAGUGAAUGUGCGUGAGAUAGCUAGCUUUUCUGGCUUGUUCGCCAACAUAGUGAACUGGAAAGUGUCUGCGCAACACAGAAGAUACAACAGUGAGAGAAACUUCCCUACGCUUCGACAGACACUCCAUCUGGCUGCAACACGGUAUUUAGAGGAGAGGAACCGCACAAGCUGGCGAAUCAUGGAAUCUUCGGGAGACUCAGUCCCUCCAGCAGCUGCACGGGCUGAUGGAGUCUGCCUCCCUGCCCCAGCGGUUCCACAGACAUGCAGCUGAGACAUUAACAGAUUGUUGCGUGCGACCCAGGGGCACCUUGAGAUGCUGACAGUGAUGACACCUGAUGACACUUGAUGGGAGAAGCCUGGGGCCCGUGGCAGGGCCAGGGCCUGAGUGCCACUCUUGCAGAUUGGAUAUCAGGUGAGCGGAGAGGGGGGUCAGAUCUUUGCUGACCUUCGAAGCAGGCCCCCUAUUUCUCUGCCGGCAAAUGGAAGGCAGAUUCACCCACACCAAUAAAGCCCCCUUUAGAGGGAUGGGCAGGAGAGGUGGUAUGGACUGAGCACUGUAUGUCAGCCCCUGAUUACAGGGCAGUUUUCCUAAUAUGUAAUUGCAAAUCAUUAUGGUGCGUGGGUGCGUAGUAAAUUAAUACUGCCAUGAAGAACAAUAAUGUGAAAAUGAGUAAGGCAUAAAAAAACAUUCAUCUGGUUAUGUUUGACAAGCCAUUUGUUCAUCUGAGCCAUCAUACUGGUGCUUUUGCAUGAACAAAAAGUAAUGUGAGCAUGUAAUGACAGCUAAAAUGUCCGUGUGUUGAGGCGUGAUUGAGAUCUAUUAUGUCUCAUCUGAAAUAGAUUUCACAAACUGGCUUGCUGGAAAGACAGUGGGUGUGUUGAAAUACCCUCCUGGAAGUGUUGAAAUCCCUCAUGAAGGUGUCCUUUGAGUACCCUAUAUGCCUACAUGCCUGCACUCAGCAGACACUCAUCUACCAAGUUCUAGCUGCGGUUGCCAAAUGUCCAAACUUGGUUCCAAUUUGACAUGUCUAGCAUCAAUAUCAUGUCUCCCUACUGCAAGUAAUCUGGUAUUUCACGGAAGUAAUCACUUUCCAUCAUUCAGACAUUCCACUCAGAAGCACAGCACCCCAGCCCUCAGUUCAGACAGCGCAGCAAACUCUAUAGCAGCUCAAUGUAUUAGUGAAAUAUUUACCAUUCCCCAUGACUCGUGAAGAAUGCGUGCGCCAGUCAGCCACUUGCUUAUUCCCUUAUGUUGGGGACCUGACCCAAACCUGCUUCACAGGCAAUGGCACUCCAUCAAGACUAUGCAAUAUGGAUGCUAGUCUUUGGCAAUGCUCAUGUGCAUCAGUAAGCAGCAAUACCAAAAACAUGUUUAACAUACUCCAAUGUAUCAGUUCUAUAUGUAAACGUAAGAUAUACACAACCAUAUGCACAUUUAUUAUCAUUUAUUCAUACUGUCAUGGUGAUUACUCUGCUCAAGUGUUGCUUAGCUACCCUUAUUUAUCAUUCUGUCCGACUGAGCAUGUCCCAUGUGCCUUAUUUCUGCAGUCAAUCACACCUCAGCUGGUUGCUAAACAUUCUGCAUAAAUUGUUUACUCUCCUGAGUUGCCACUGCUGUGAAAUUGUAAGCAUAUAUGUAUGUCAUGCUGCUGUCUCCUUGCAUUUCCAAUAGUAUUUCGACUGCCGAAACAAUCAGCCUGUGAAAAUUAUUGGUGAAGUAAGAGUUUCAAAUGUGAUGUGAAAUUCCCAGACUGGCCUAAGAUGGUGUCUUGUGAAAAUAGGUUACAGGAGUUGCCCAAUGGCUUUUCAUUUCAGGUGGAAGCAGUACAACAUGACUGAAUUUCAAAUGACCUAAAUCGUCAGAUCUUAGAAAGUCCUAGAAAGUCAUAUCCAACUCUUUGUCAGAUAAAAAAAAAUCUCCCUGUGAAAACGUGUAAUCGGUAAAGUACAAGUUCAAGCAUCAUCAGCAUCUUUUAAUAGUUAUUAAACCACAUCCUUUCUCAUGUUGCUCUCACGUGCCUUAAAAUGAAUAUACUUCCUAAUGUAUCAUAAUGUAUUUCAAUCAUUUAAAACAAACAAACUGCACUUCAAUGUAACUAAGCAACUGUCUUGGUGAAGUCUGUUGGUUCUACAUGUAUGUAGCAACAUGUCCAUUUUUAAGGGUAUUGAAUGUGGUUUUUCUAAGAGGGGCUCAGUAUUACCAGUCCUUAUAGGCAAGUCUCACCACUCGGCAGACAUCUUGGCAAUGCCACCAGGCUGUUUUGGGC